GCAGCAGAGCCAAGCUGAAAUGCGUCAUGAUACAAUCUGGCUAAUCUGAGCACCAAACUGAACGGACAAAUAAUUUAACAAGAGGUGAGGGAUGUCUAGCUCAAGGUGGAAUCAGUCCAGUAAGAAAUGAAGUCCAGCAGAUCCAAACAAAAGAUGAAAGUCUUCCUAAAGGCAACAAAGCUCGAAUGGAUCAAGCCAAAACGAGUAUGCAGAUCUUCAGACGAGAGAUGAUGGAGCUACCUCACAAAGUCUGGCAAAAAGGUUCAUUUAUAGGAUGUGACUGGAGGAUCCGUUCAAUGAUUGUCUUUCAUGAAGACCGUGAAUGCUGAACUCAUGUUUCCCCUAUUUUUUUGAGUGGAAGACUAUACCACUACAAAAACACUCAAGUUUGAGAGCUGGAGAAGUUAUAGCAGGAAAGCCAAGUUCUCAGAAAUGUGACAACUGGAUUGCCCUAUUUGUUGCCUUAAAUAAUAACUACAUAUUCAAAAG
Long non-coding RNA from Cuculus canorus (common cuckoo), 489 nucleotides. RefSeq lists it as uncharacterized. NCBI's taxonomy places the organism in Eukaryota, Metazoa, Chordata, Aves, Cuculiformes, Cuculidae. The record is from RefSeq and is a predicted model, not a curated record. The transcript has 3 exons.